CAGAGCAUAGCUAAAAACAGAAUAGCAUCUCCCUUACACCGAGAAGGUAUCCGUGCAAAUCGGAUUGCCCUGA
RNAcentral lists this transfer RNA (73 nucleotides) under Chaetodontoplus poliourus (greytail angelfish). RNAcentral describes it as "tRNA-Val". It matches the Rfam family "tRNA". From Rfam's summary of the family: Transfer RNA (tRNA) molecules are approximately 80 nucleotides in length. Their secondary structure includes four short double-helical elements and three loops (D, anti-codon, and T loops). Further hydrogen bonds mediate the characteristic L-shaped molecular structure. tRNAs have two regions of fundamental functional importance: the anti-codon, which is responsible for specific mRNA codon recognition, and the 3' end, to which the tRNAs corresponding amino acid is attached (by aminoacyl-tRNA synthetases). tRNAs cope with the degeneracy of the genetic code in two manners: having more than one tRNA (with a specific anti-codon) for a particular amino acid; and 'wobble' base-pairing, i.e. permitting non-standard base-pairing at the 3rd anti-codon position. The record is from RNAcentral. Lineage: Eukaryota; Metazoa; Chordata; Actinopteri; Pomacanthidae.